GAUGAAGAACGUAGCGAAAUGCGAUACUUGGUGUGAAUUGCAGAAUCCCGUGAACCAUCGAGUUUUUGAACGCAAGUUGCGCCCGAAGCCAUUAGGCCGAGGGCACGCCUGCCUGGGCGUCACACGUCGUUGCCCCCCCAUCUACUCCUUCGGGAUUGCGGGGGGCGGAUGAUGGCCUCUCGUGCGCCUCGUCGCGCGGUUGGCCUAAAUGCCAAGUCCUCGGCGACGCACGCCACGACAAUCGGUGGUUGCGAAACCUCGGUUGCCUGUCGUGUGCGGUCGUCGCGCAUCGAGGGCUCGAAAAAAUUGCCGGGCUUCGGCUCGACUUUCAACGCGACCCCAGGUCAGGCGGGGUUACCCGCUGAAUUUAAGCAUAUCAAUAAGCGGAGGA
Molecule: unclassified non-coding RNA, 391 nt
Filed under: soil metagenome
Description: partial contains 5.8S ribosomal RNA, internal transcribed spacer 2, and large subunit ribosomal RNA
Rfam family: 5.8S ribosomal RNA (bases 1-122)
Source: RNAcentral